AUACCAUCAGGGGACUGAAAUCUAGCUAAAAGAAUUUGGGACGGAGUAUUAGGAAUUGUCAAAAGUGUAGAAGUCUAAUUUUGAUUUUUAAAUAAUAUAAAUACUAUGCUACCCUUCCUUUUUCAGUUUUCUUCAACUAUUUUCUGGACUUACGGAGGAACUUGAUGCCAGAAUUCAGUUCUGGUCAGAACGGACACCACCAAAUUAAUUACAGUGACCUCCGAACUCUUUACCCUUGACCCUGGUGGCAGAAACUGGUAUGACUAGCAAUCCCUGACUCUCAACCCUUCUGACACUCGCUGUCCAGGUGAAUCCAUAGCCAAAGCCAAGGACAUAUCAGCAAUUUCGACUUGGUCUCUGGUCUCAUUGGUCAACAGGCAAGAGCUACAAUAGAAUAUGUACUUGGACUCAGGCUCAGAAAUUACCAAACUGUCAUAACUGACCCAAAGAUGCUUCCCCUGGCACAGGAGUAAGGUAGGGGAUGGUAAAUAAGAGGAAGAGAGAAAGAAGAUCUUGAAGAUGGAAGUCCAAAUGUCACAGCAGGCAGUGUAAAGGGCAGAAACAACCAUUCUAGGUAAGCUCACAAAAAUCUUCCUUUUGUCUUUAUUAAUGGCAAUGAUCCCAUUUGUGUGGAACACUAGAGUGCAUUUAGAUUAAGUGUUCUCUUCAGCUUGAUUCCUAAGCUCAUCAAGAUCCUAAGAGCAGAGAACUGAACAAAGCUGGGGAGCUUAUCCUGAGCUUUGAAGAGAUUAUCCCCCAAGUUCCCUGGCAGGCCUGCAGAAGGUGACCUGCCUGUUAUCUCAGAACACUCCAUACAGCAGAGAUCAUCAACACCAUUAUGGC
Molecule: long non-coding RNA, 843 nt
Organism: Pan paniscus (pygmy chimpanzee)
Lineage: Eukaryota; Metazoa; Chordata; Mammalia; Primates; Hominidae
Source: Ensembl